GAUGAAGAACGUAGCGAAAUGCGAUAAGUAAUGUGAAUUGCAGAAUUCAGUGAAUCAUCGAAUCUUUGAACGCACAUUGCGCCCGCCAGUAUUCUGGCGGGCAUGCCUGUUCGAGCGUCAUUACAACCCUCAGGCCCCCGGGCCUGGCGUUGGGGAUCGGCGGAGCCCCCCGUGGGCACACGCCGUCCCCCAAAUGCAGUGGCGGUCCCGCCGCAGCUUCCAUCGCGUAGUAGCUAACACCUCGCGACUGGAGAGCGGCGCGGCCACGCCGUAAAACACCCAACUCUUCUGAAGUUGACCUCGAAUCAGGUAGGAAUACCCGCCGAACUUAAGCAUAUCAAUAAGCGGAGGA
Molecule: unclassified non-coding RNA, 352 nt
Filed under: soil metagenome
Description: partial contains 5.8S ribosomal RNA, internal transcribed spacer 2, and large subunit ribosomal RNA
Rfam family: 5.8S ribosomal RNA (bases 1-120)
Source: RNAcentral